UCCACUACUUAAUUUCUUACCUUUUUUUCUUCAAAUUCUCAAGUGACGAUACGGAGAAUUCCAACGAAUCACUACAAACAAAUAAAUAUGGAGCUUCUCGUGGAAGGGUAAAGAAAUGCUUGAUUGCAGUGGAAGAUUUUAUAUGUGAUUUCACGGGUGAUGACAGUAUUAGGACGACGUUUUUACGGGAGGGAAAGAAAAAGCUAGUCAAAAAGACGAAAAAGUUGCUGAAUGACCCACUAUUUAUGCUGCAAAAGUUGAGCAAUUUGAUAGAGCCAAGUAUUAUAGAAAAUACAAGGCUUAGAAGUGCAUUCGAAGAGGUUAAAUCCACUCUGCAGCAGUCAAAGAAUCCAGUACCAACUCAAGACUCUAUUGAUAAGAUUACUUGCCAGAUUUUGAAUUGGCUUUGAAGCAGUCAAAGAAUCCAGUACCAACUCAAGACUCUACUGAUAAUAUUGCAUUGCAAGAGUUUGAAUUGGCUCUGAAGCAGUCAAAGAAUCCAAUUCCAACUCAAUAUUCUACUGAUAUCAUUAAUGAGUUAGGUUGCCAAAAUAAGUCUGCAAACAAGUUUUCCAUCGGAGUAUACCCGCCUGGUUUUACUUCAGACUGAUAGUGGGAAGAAAGUACCGGAUUCGACUGUAGUAAGUGAGGCCGAAAAUGAAUAUGUUCGUGUUCACUUAGUUUCUGUAAGUCUAAGCAUGUAUUUAACAAAAUAAAGCUGCCAAGCAAGGGAGAUCCGACUGGUCAGAAGAUGAUUUUACUGGGAUGCAUGGGUGUUGGCUUUGGUAACUUGACUGCUACGGCUAAGAAUAUCCCUCCGGGUGUUUUGGAACCCAAGUCACCCGAAGGAGCAUAUAUUUUGGUUAAGGUUGCUUCCAAGUUCCAACUACUGUAGCAUCCUGCUUGAUCGAUGCUGUUGCAUGUGCUUAUCCAAGCUUGUUCGUAUAUGAAUAACCAAUGCACGAUCGUUUUGUCACAAAUCUGCACCGCUCUUGCUUGCUUUGAGUAUGUCAAUUGCUGUUAUGAACUCUGUGAUGGUUUCUAGUGUUCUGAUGAAAGGUCAUUGAAUUCUUGAAGACGAAAAGACAUGGAUAUGAAUAUUACUAUUGUAGUUAUUGUAUGUAUACGCUAUUGAUAAUGAUAAUGCUAAGAGCAAUAUGCCUAUUAUUAAGUUACUAAUGCAAUGAAUACAUAUAUUAUUCCAAUGCCAUCUAAGAUAAAGGGAAAUGUUAUAGAGUUAUGCAAGUAUCUUAGGGCAG
Hibiscus syriacus is the source of this 1259-nucleotide long non-coding RNA. RefSeq lists it as uncharacterized. The transcript is spliced from 5 exons. The record is from RefSeq and is a predicted model, not a curated record. NCBI's taxonomy places the organism in Eukaryota, Viridiplantae, Streptophyta, Magnoliopsida, Malvales, Malvaceae.